GCCCCUAUAGCUCAAUUGGCAGAGCAGGUGCCUUUUAAGCACUUGGUUCCAGGUUCGAGUCCUGGUGGGGGCA
Non-coding RNA from Candidatus Staskawiczbacteria bacterium, 73 nucleotides. The record is from Rfam. NCBI's taxonomy places the organism in Bacteria, Candidatus Staskawicziibacteriota.